AAGGUUUUAGCUUAAUGAAAGUAUCUGAGUUGCAUUCAGAAGAUGUGAGAUAGAGUCUUGCAAAUCUUA
RNAcentral lists this transfer RNA (69 nucleotides) under Sphyrna gilberti. RNAcentral's name for it is "tRNA-Ala". It matches the Rfam family "tRNA". From Rfam's summary of the family: Transfer RNA (tRNA) molecules are approximately 80 nucleotides in length. Their secondary structure includes four short double-helical elements and three loops (D, anti-codon, and T loops). Further hydrogen bonds mediate the characteristic L-shaped molecular structure. tRNAs have two regions of fundamental functional importance: the anti-codon, which is responsible for specific mRNA codon recognition, and the 3' end, to which the tRNAs corresponding amino acid is attached (by aminoacyl-tRNA synthetases). tRNAs cope with the degeneracy of the genetic code in two manners: having more than one tRNA (with a specific anti-codon) for a particular amino acid; and 'wobble' base-pairing, i.e. permitting non-standard base-pairing at the 3rd anti-codon position. Lineage: Eukaryota; Metazoa; Chordata; Chondrichthyes; Carcharhiniformes; Carcharhinidae. The record is from RNAcentral.